GACGAACGCUGGCGGCGUGCUUAACACAUGCAAGUCGAACGGAAAGGCCCUGCUUUUGUGGGGUGCUCGAGUGGCGAACGGGUGAGUAACACGUGAGUAACCUGCCCUUGACUUUGGGAUAACUUCAGGAAACUGGGGCUAAUACCGGAUAGGAGCUCCUGCUGCAUGGUGGGGGUUGGAAAGUUUCGGCGGUUGGGGAUGGACUCGCGGCUUAUCAGCUUGUUGGUGGGGUAGUGGCUUACCAAGGCUUUGACGGGUAGCCGGCCUGAGAGGGUGACCGGCCACAUUGGGACUGAGAUACGGCAGAGACUCAUACGGGAGGAAGGAGGGGGGAAUAUUGCACAAUGGGCGGAAGCGUGAUGAAGCAACGCCGCGUGCGGGAUGACGGCCUUCGGGUUGUAAACCGCUUUCGCCUGUGACGAAGCGUGAGUGACGGGAAUGGGUAAAGAAGCACCGGCUAACUACG
This 466-nucleotide ribosomal RNA is filed under the name uncultured bacterium. RNAcentral's name for it is "partial 16S ribosomal RNA". It matches the Rfam family "Bacterial small subunit ribosomal RNA", at positions 28 to 505 of the family's 1533-position model. The record is from RNAcentral.